CCUACGGGAGGCAGCAGUGAGGAAUAUUGGUCAAUGGACGAGAGUCUGAACCAGCCAAGUCGCGUGAAGGAUGACUGCCCUAUGGGUUGUAAACUUCUUUUAUAAAGGAAUAAAACGAGGCACGUGUGCCUUUUUGCAAGUACUUUAUGAAUAAGGAUCGGCUAACUCCGUGCCAACAGCCGCGGUAAUACGGAGGAUCCGAGCGUUAUCCGGAUUUAUUGGGUUUAAAGGGGGCGUAGAUGGGUUGUUAAGUCAGUUGUGAAAGUUUGCGGCUCAACCGCAAGAUUGCAAUUGAUACUGGCAGUCUUGAGUACAGUUGAGGUAGGCGGAAUUCGUGGUGUAGCAGUGAAAUGCUUAGAUAUCACGAAGAACCCCGAUUGCGAAGGCAGCUUACUAAACUGUGACUGACAUUGAGGCUCGAAAGUGUGGGUAUCGAACAGGAUUAGAUACCCCUGUAGUC
This 460-nucleotide ribosomal RNA is filed under the name uncultured bacterium. Its description in RNAcentral is "partial 16S ribosomal RNA". It matches the Rfam family "Bacterial small subunit ribosomal RNA", at positions 338 to 795 of the family's 1533-position model. The record is from RNAcentral.